This 83-nucleotide small nucleolar RNA is filed under the name Carassius auratus (goldfish). Its description in RNAcentral is "Small nucleolar RNA SNORD53/SNORD92 (ENSCARG00000054774.1)". It matches the Rfam family "Small nucleolar RNA SNORD53/SNORD92". From Rfam's summary of the family: U53 is a member of the C/D class of snoRNA which contain the C (UGAUGA) and D (CUGA) box motifs. Most of the members of the box C/D family function in directing site-specific 2'-O-methylation of substrate RNAs. The human orthologue HBII-316 (SNORD92) is predicted to guide the 2'O-ribose methylation of 28S rRNA A3846. The record is from Rfam by way of RNAcentral. Lineage: Eukaryota; Metazoa; Chordata; Actinopteri; Cypriniformes; Cyprinidae.
UAAAUAUGAUGAUACCAGAGAAUGGUUUCGCUUGUUUGACUGAUGUUAUGUGAUGUUAAAAAUUCUCUUGGCUGUCUGAUUAA